RNAcentral lists this ribosomal RNA (443 nucleotides) under uncultured bacterium. RNAcentral describes it as "partial 16S ribosomal RNA". It matches the Rfam family "Bacterial small subunit ribosomal RNA", at positions 338 to 795 of the family's 1533-position model. The record is from RNAcentral.
CCUACGGGGGGCUGCAGUGGGGAAUAUUGGGCAAUGGAGGCAACUCUGACCCAGCAAUGCCGCGUGAGUGAUGAAGGUCAUUGUAUUGUAAAGCUCUUUUCUUUGGAACGAAUAAAUGACGGUUCCAAAGGAAUAAGCCCCGGCUAACAACGUGCCAGCAGGCGGGGUUAUGCGUGGGGGGCAAGCGUUGGUCGGGAUGUCUGGGCGUAAAGGGUGUGUAGGUGGGUUGAUAAGGUAGAUGUGUAAUACCCAGGGCUUAACUCGGGUGCUGCAUCUAAAACUGGUAGACUUGAGUGCGGGAGAGGAAAGUGGAAUUCCUAGUGUAGCGGUGGAAUGCGUAGAUAUUAGGAGGAACAUCAGUGGCGAAGGCGACUAUCUGGACAACAACUGACACUGAGGCACGAAAGCGUGGGGAGCAAACAGGAUUAGAUACCCUAGUAGUC